CCUACGGGUGGCAGCAGUGAGGAAUAUUGGUCAAUGGACGCGAGCCUGAACCAGCCAAGUAGCGUGAAGGAUGACUGCCCUACGGGUUGUAAACUUCUUUUAUAAAGGAAUAAAGUGAGGCACGUGUGCCGUUUUGUAUGUACUUUAUGAAUAAGGAUCGGCUAACUCCGUGCCAGCAGCCGCGGUAAUACGGAGGAUCCGAGCGUUAUCCGGAUUUAUUGGGUUUAAAGGGAGCGUAGAUGGGUUCUUAAGUCAGUUGUGAAAGUUUGCGGCUCAACCGUAAAAUUGCAGUUGAGACUGGGAGUCUUGAGUACAGGUGAGGUAGGCGGAAUGCGUGGUGUAGCGGUGAAAUGCUUAGAUAUCACGAAGAACUCCGAUUGCGAAGGCAGCUUACUAGACUGCAACUGACACUGAUGCUCGAAAGUGUGGGUAUCAAACAGGAUUAGAUACCCCUGUAGUC
Molecule: ribosomal RNA, 460 nt
Filed under: uncultured bacterium
Lineage: Bacteria
Description: partial 16S ribosomal RNA
Rfam family: Bacterial small subunit ribosomal RNA
Source: RNAcentral